UAGGGAAUCUUCCACAAUGGGCGAAAGCCUGAUGGAGCAACGCCGCGUGUGUGAUGAAGGGUUUCGGCUCGUAAAACACUGUUGUAAGAGAAGAAUGACAUUGAGAGUAACUGUUCAAUGUGUGACGGUAUCUUACCAGAAAGGAACGGCUAAAUACGUGCCAGCAGCCGCGGUAAUACGUAUGUUCCAAGCGUUAUCCGGAUUUAUUGGGCGUAAAGCUAGCGCAGACGGUUAUUUAAGUCUGAAGUGAAAGCCCUCAGCUCAACUGAGGAAUUGCUUUGGAAACUGGAUGACUUGAGUGCAGUAGAGGAAAGUGGAACUCCAUGUGUAGCGGUGAAAUGCGUAGAUAUAUGGAAGAACACCAGUGGCGAAGGCGGCUUUCUGGACUGUAACUGACGUUGAGGCUCGAAAGUGUGGGUAGCAAACAGG
This 429-nucleotide ribosomal RNA is filed under the name Acidobacteriota bacterium. RNAcentral describes it as "Acidobacteria bacterium partial 16S ribosomal RNA". It matches the Rfam family "Bacterial small subunit ribosomal RNA", at positions 355 to 776 of the family's 1533-position model. The record is from RNAcentral. Lineage: Bacteria; Pseudomonadati; Acidobacteriota.